GGGUAAUGGCUCACCAAGGCGACGAUCCGUAACUGGUCUGAGAGGAUGAUCAGUCACACUGGAACUGAGACACGGUCCAGACUCCUACGGGAGGCAGCAGUGGGGAAUAUUGGACAAUGGGCGAAAGCCUGAUCCAGCCAUGCCGCGUGUGUGAAGAAGGUCUUCGGAUUGUAAAGCACUUUAAGUUGGGAGGAAGGGCAGUUGCCUAAUACGUAACUGUUUUGACGUUACCGACAGAAUAAGCACCGGCUAACUCUGUGCCAGCAGCCGCGGUAAUACAGAGGGUGCAAGCGUUAAUCGGAAUUACUGGGCGUAAAGCGCGCGUAGGUGGUUUGUUAAGUUGGAUGUGAAAUCCCCGGGCUCAACCUGGGAACUGCAUUCAAAACUGACUGACUAGAGUAUGGUAGAGGGUGGUGGAAUUUCCUGUGUAGCGGUGAAAUGCGUAGAUAUAGGAAGGAACACCAGUGGCGAAGGCGACCACCUGGACUAAUACUGA
This 496-nucleotide ribosomal RNA is filed under the name Pseudomonas sp. C5. RNAcentral's name for it is "bacterial SSU rRNA". It matches the Rfam family "Bacterial small subunit ribosomal RNA", at positions 255 to 743 of the family's 1533-position model. Lineage: Bacteria; Pseudomonadati; Pseudomonadota; Gammaproteobacteria; Pseudomonadales; Pseudomonadaceae. The record is from RNAcentral.